AUUGAACGCUGGCGGCAGGCCUAACACAUGCAAGUCGAGCGGAUGAAGGGAGCUUGCUCCUGGAUUCAGCGGCGGACGGGUGAGUAAUGCCUAGGCAACUGCCUGGUAGUGGGGGAUAAAGCCCGGAAAAGGGCGCUAAUUCCGCAUACGUCCUGAGGGAGAAAGUGGCGGCUCUUCGGACCUUACGCUAUCAGAUGAGCCUCGGUCGGACUAGCUAGUUGUUGGGGUAGAGGCCUGCCAACGCGACGAUCCGUAACUGGGCUGAGAGGAGGAUCAGUCACACAGGAGCUGAGACGCGAGCCAGACUCCUACGGGAGGCAGCGGUGGGGAAUGGUGGAAGAUGGGCGAAAGCCUGAACCAGCCAUGCCGCGUGUAUGAAGAAGGGCUUCGGAUUGUAAAACGCUUUUAGUUGGGUAAAAGGGCAGUAGGAUGAAACCCGGCAGUGUGGACGUUACCGACAGAAUAAGCACCGGCGAACAUCGU
Molecule: ribosomal RNA, 483 nt
Filed under: uncultured bacterium
Lineage: Bacteria
Description: partial 16S ribosomal RNA
Rfam family: Bacterial small subunit ribosomal RNA
Source: RNAcentral